RNAcentral lists this unclassified non-coding RNA (247 nucleotides) under Hygrocybe sp. RNAcentral's name for it is "partial contains 5.8S ribosomal RNA, internal transcribed spacer 2, and large subunit ribosomal RNA". Lineage: Eukaryota; Fungi; Basidiomycota; Agaricomycetes; Agaricales; Hygrophoraceae. RNAcentral also lists the same sequence under 2 other names. The record is from RNAcentral.
AACGCACAUUGCGCCCGCCAGCAUUCUGGCGGGCAUGCCUGUCCGAGCGUCAUUUCAACCCUCAAGCUCUGCUUGGUGUUGGGGCCCUACGCGCUAAGCGUAGACCCCUAAAAUCAGUGGCGGGCCCGCCGUGGCUCCGGGCGUAGUAGCAACACCUCGCCCUGGGACCGCAGCGUGCUCCGGCCGUUAAACCCCCACUAUACAGAAGGUUGACCUCGGAUCAGGUAGGAAUACCCGCUGAACUUAA